Molecule: ribosomal RNA, 490 nt
Filed under: uncultured bacterium
Lineage: Bacteria
Description: partial 16S ribosomal RNA
Rfam family: Bacterial small subunit ribosomal RNA
Source: RNAcentral
AUUGAACGCUGGCGGCAGGCCUAACACAUGCAAGUCGAACGGUAACAGAAAGCAGCUUGCUGCUUUGCUGACGAGUGGCGGACGGGUGAGUAAUGUCUGGGAAACUGCCUGAUGGAGGGGGAUAACUACUGGAAACGGUAGCUAAUACCGCAUAACGUCGCAAGACCAAAGAGGGGGACCUUCGGGCCUCUUGCCAUCGGAUUUGCCCAGAUGGGAUUAGCUAGUAGGUGGGGUAAAGGCUCACCUAGGCGACGAUCCCUAGCUGGUCUGAGAGGAUGACCAGCCACACUGGAACUGAGACACGGUCCAGACUCCUACGGGAGGCAGCAGUGGGGAAUAUUGCACAAUGGGCGCAAGCCUGAUGCAGCCAUGCCGCGUGUAUGAAGAAGGCCUUCGGGUUGUAAAGUACUUUCAGCGGGGAGGAAGGGAGUAAAGUUAAUACCUUUGCUCAUUGACGUUACCCGCAGAAGAAGCACCGGCUAACUCCGUG